AGAUUAAGUUAUUAAGGGCGCACGGUGGAUGCCUUGGCACUAGAAGCCGAUGAAGGACGUUACUAACGACGAUAUGCUUUGGGGAGCUGUAAGUAAGCUUUGAUCCAGAGAUUUCCGAAUGGGGAAACCCAGCAUGAGUUAUGUCAUGUUAUCGAUAUGUGAAUACAUAGCAUAUCAGAAGGCACACCCGGAGAACUGAAACAUCUUAGUACCCGGAGGAAGAGAAAGAAAAUUCGAUCCCCUUAGUAGCGGCGAGCGAAACGGGAAGAGCCCAAACCAACAAGCUUGCUUGUUGGGGUUGUAGGACACUCUAUACGGAGUUACAAAGGACGACAUUAGACGAAUCAUCUGGAAAGAUGAAUCAAAGAAGGUAAUAAUCCUGUAGUCGAAAAUGUUGUCUCUCUUGAGUGGAUCCUGAGUACGACGGAGCACGUGAAAUUCCGUCGGAAUCUGGGAGGACCAUCUCCUAAGGCUAAAUACUCUCUAGUGACCGAUAGUGAACCAGUACCGUGAGGGAAAGGUGAAAAGCACCCCGGAAGGGGAGUGAAAUAGAACCUGAAACCGUGUGCUUACAAGUAGUCAGAGCCCGUUAAUGGGUGAUGGCGUGCCUUUUGUAGAAUGAACCGGCGAGUUACGAUUUGAUGCAAGGUUAAGCAGUAAAUGUGGAGCCGUAGCGAAAGCGAGUCUGAAUAGGGCGUUUAGUAUUUGGUCGUAGACCCGAAACCAGGUGAUCUACCCUUGGUCAGGUUGAAGUUCAGGUAACACUGAAUGGAGGACCGAACCGACUUACGUUGAAAAGUGAGCGGAUGAACUGAGGGUAGCGGAGAAAUUCCAAUCGAACCUGGAGAUAGCUGGUUCUCUCCGAAAUAGCUUUAGGGCUAGCCUCAAGUGAUGAUUAUUGGAGGUAGAGCACUGUUUGGACGAGGGGCCCCUCUCGGGUUACCGAAUUCAGACAAACUCCGAAUGCCAAUUAAUUUAACUUGGGAGUCAGAACAUGGGUGAUAAGGUCCGUGUUCGAAAGGGAAACAGCCCAGACCACCAGCUAAGGUCCCAAAAUAUAUGUUAAGUGGAAAAGGAUGUGGCGUUGCCCAGACAACUAGGAUGUUGGCUUAGAAGCAGCCAUCAUUUAAAGAGUGCGUAAUAGCUCACUAGUCGAGUGACACUGCGCCGAAAAUGUACCGGGGCUAAACAUAUUACCGAAGCUGUGGAUUGUCCUUUGGACAAUGGUAGGAGAGCGUUCUAAGGGCGUUGAAGCAUGAUCGUAAG
Molecule: ribosomal RNA, 1266 nt
Filed under: Staphylococcus aureus
Lineage: Bacteria; Bacillati; Bacillota; Bacilli; Caryophanales; Staphylococcaceae
Description: partial 23S ribosomal RNA
Rfam family: Bacterial large subunit ribosomal RNA
Source: RNAcentral